UGCUCCUCCCUGUGCAAGCUCCAUGUAUCUAACGACCUGCAAUGCAUGCAGCAGAGAGUCAACAACUAGUUGAGCGAGUUCACAGAAAUAAUACGUAUGUUCAUUUAGUGGGGGCUUCCCACGUAUGUAUGUACUAAUAUUGGGGGUUUCCCAUGAUUAUAUUUAUUACUAAAGGGGGCUUCCCAUGUUUAUCCUUACUAGACUAUUGUAACCAUGUGUUCUUCUUAAUCCGAGAACAGGAAUACGUACAAGGUCACGUAGGUUUUACGUGAGUGCCCUUCCCCGAGGACAGUGGUACGCGUGGGGUUUACGUAGGUUUUACGUAAGUGUCCUUCCGACCCGGAAGACAGUAGUAGGCAUGAGUUUACGUAGGUUUUACGUAAGUGUCCUCCCGACCCGGGAGACAGUGGUUGAUACUAGUUUACGUAGGUUUUACGUAAGUGUCCUGACUAACCUGAGGACGAUGGUAUAUAGUCUAGCAAUGGUGUAAGUACGAGUAAUUAUCCAAUUC
RNAcentral lists this long non-coding RNA (511 nucleotides) under Helianthus annuus (common sunflower). RNAcentral's name for it is "sRNA HanXRQr2_Chr12g0557851". The record is from RNAcentral. Lineage: Eukaryota; Viridiplantae; Streptophyta; Magnoliopsida; Asterales; Asteraceae.